Molecule: long non-coding RNA, 692 nt
Filed under: Carica papaya (papaya)
Lineage: Eukaryota; Viridiplantae; Streptophyta; Magnoliopsida; Brassicales; Caricaceae
Description: long non-coding RNA (CPAP_LNC008974)
Source: RNAcentral
UUAGCCUCUAUAUUCUUGGAUGAGAAAGUUACAAAGAAUAUAGAUUCGAUGAUGAAUCCUUUCAAAGAAGGAGGGGGGGAUUAUGUGAAAAUCACUAAGGAAAAUAUAUGCGAUAAAUAAGAAGUCCAUAAGACUCCUGAAGGGAGGAAAAAGCUAAGCAAAGAUGAGCUUCCUAAACUUACUCGUGAGCAUUCUUGAACAAACAGUGACAAAGCUAAAUAUAACCCGGUACAAGUUCAAUACUACAAAUCAAAGUUAAAUAUACUGGGAGCUCAGUCCAUGAAAAAGAAGCAUCAGAAAAGACUAAAAAAUAGGAAGUUGUUGGGCCUAACGGCUAAAGAAAGACUCGACCCACGACUCCCAACCCAAGAAGAAGCUCAAAACAUGAUAUGGGUCUAGGUACUAGUGGUCUACACGUGUGUGGGUUUUCCCACGUGUGAACCAUGGCCCCCACAUAUGCGGGCUCCCUGCCCGCACGAACAAACAUGCAACACAAACAAGCAACCAAGCCCACAUGGCCCUUGGCAUGCAAGCAUGUGAGAAAGCACCCGCACGAUCAGCUCGUGCACGUUUGCGGUAAAAGCAUUCUGCACAUCCCGCGUGCAUGCACUAUAACAUCCCAGAUACCUGAUGGGGUAAAAGGGAGGCUGAUAACAGAUACGAUUACCAAUAACUAGUUUAACAUUAAAGUG